Erpetoichthys calabaricus (reedfish) is the source of this 454-nucleotide long non-coding RNA. RefSeq lists it as uncharacterized. The record is from RefSeq and is a predicted model, not a curated record. NCBI's taxonomy places the organism in Eukaryota, Metazoa, Chordata, Cladistia, Polypteriformes, Polypteridae. The transcript has 4 exons.
UAAGUUGCGCAAAGGUACAUUUUAAUGCCAUGCGUAGCCACGGAGAGAGGCGCGACGACACACCGAUGCCAACCAAGCCACCCGCCAGCGCGACACCCGCUCACCACACGGCGACAAAUGGGUGCUUCUUUGAAAGAAAUACGCGAGCGUAUUUCCAUGGCGACGCCCCACUCUUGGACUAAACGGCGUACGGACAGCCAAUAAUAUCGCGCGCACAUACACGAACAAAGGGUCGACAGGCAGGGGUACUGAAGGACUACAAACUUUACCAGUGCUUGUAAAAUUUAUAGAAAAUGCACAGUUAUGCUGACUCAAAGAUUGAUCAAGGUUUGAGGAAGAUCCCGGACAAGUUCUUCACUCCACAUGACUUCGGUACUUUCUACCAGUGAUCUUACAUGCUCUUGAAGCCGGCGUUGAAGAGACUUCACACAUGACUUCUUAGAUGAAACCAGAG